This 1332-nucleotide ribosomal RNA is filed under the name uncultured bacterium. Its description in RNAcentral is "bacterial SSU rRNA". It matches the Rfam family "Bacterial small subunit ribosomal RNA", at positions 28 to 1381 of the family's 1533-position model. The record is from RNAcentral.
GACGAACGCUGGCGGCGCGCCUAACACAUGCAAGUCGAACGAGCGAGAGAGAGCUUGCUUUCUCGAGCGAGUGGCGAACGGGUGAGUAACGCGUGAGGAACCUGCCUCAAAGAGGGGGACAACAGUUGGAAACGACUGCUAAUACCGCAUAAGCCCACGGCUCGGCAUCGAGCAGAGGGAAAAGGAGCAAUCCGCUUUGAGAUGGCCUCGCGUCCGAUUAGCUGGUUGGUGAGGUAACGGCCCACCAAGGCGACGAUCGGUAGCCGGACUGAGAGGUUGAACGGCCACAUUGGGACUGAGACACGGCCCAGACUCCUACGGGAGGCAGCAGUGGGGAAUAUUGCACAAUGGGGGAAACCCUGAUGCAGCGACGCCGCGUGGAGGAAGAAGGUCUUCGGAUUGUAAACUCCUGUUGUUGGGGAAGAUAAUGACGGUACCCAACAAGGAAGUGACGGCUAACUACGUGCCAGCAGCCGCGGUAAAACGUAGGUCACAAGCGUUGUCCGGAAUUACUGGGUGUAAAGGGAGCGCAGGCGGGAAGACAAGUUGGAAGUGAAAUCUAUGGGCUCAACCCAUAAACUGCUUUCAAAACUGUUUUUCUUGAGUAGUGCAGAGGUAGGCGGAAUUCCCGGUGUAGCGGUGGAAUGCGUAGAUAUCGGGAGGAACACCAGUGGCGAAGGCGGCCUACUGGGCACCAACUGACGCUGAGGCUCGAAAGUGUGGGUAGCAAACAGGAUUAGAUACCCUGGUAGUCCACACCGUAAACGAUGAUUACUAGGUGUUGGAGGAUUGACCCCUUCAGUGCCGCAGUUAACACAAUAAGUAAUCCACCUGGGGAGUACGACCGCAAGGUUGAAACUCAAAGGAAUUGACGGGGGCCCGCACAAGCAGUGGAGUAUGUGGUUUAAUUCGACGCAACGCGAAGAACCUUACCAAGUCUUGACAUCCUGCGACGGUGCUGGAAACAGUACUUUCCUUCGGGACGCAGAGACAGGUGGUGCAUGGUUGUCGUCAGCUCGUGUCGUGAGAUGUUGGGUUAAGUCCCGCAACGAGCGCAACCCUUAUGGUCAGUUACUACGCAAGAGGACUCUGGCCAGACUGCCGUUGACAAAACGGAGGAAGGUGGGGAUGACGUCAAAUCAUCAUGCCCUUUAUGACUUGGGCUACACACGUACUACAAUGGCGUUAAACAAAGAGAAGCAAGACCGCGAGGUGGAGCAAAACUCAGAAACAACGUCCCAGUUCGGACUGCAGGCUGCAACUCGCCUGCACGAAGUCGGAAUUGCUAGUAAUCGUGGAUCAGCAUGCCACGGUGAAUACGUUCCCGGGCCU